This 923-nucleotide ribosomal RNA is filed under the name Bacteroidales bacterium. RNAcentral describes it as "bacterial SSU rRNA". It matches the Rfam family "Bacterial small subunit ribosomal RNA", at positions 1 to 921 of the family's 1533-position model. The record is from RNAcentral. Lineage: Bacteria; Pseudomonadati; Bacteroidota; Bacteroidia; Bacteroidales.
ACAAAGAAGAGUUUGAUCCUGGCUCAGGAUGAACGCUAGCGGCAGGCUUAACACAUGCAAGUCGAGGGGCAGCGCGGUGUAGCAAUACAUUGGCGGCGACCGGCGGAAGGGUGCGUAACGCGUGAGCAACUUGCCCGUAUCUGGGGGAUAACCGGUGGAAACGCCGACUAAUAUCCCAUAACAACAGAGGUCGCAUGGCCUUUGUUUGAAAGCUUCGGUGGAUACGGAUAGGCUCGCGAGACAUUAGCUAGUUGGAGUGGUAACGGCACACCAAGGCAACGAUGUCUAGGGGUUCUGAGAGGAAGGUCCCCCACAUUGGAACUGAGACACGGUCCAAACUCCUACGGGAGGCAGCAGUGAGGAAUAUUGGUCAAUGGACGGAAGUCUGAACCAGCCAUGCCGCGUGAAGGAAUAAGGCCCUACGGGUCGUAAACUUCUUUUGUGGUGGAGCAAUAAGACGUACGUGUACGUCGAUGAGAGUACAUCACGAAUAAGCAUCGGCUAACUCCGUGCCAGCAGCCGCGGUAAUACGGAGGAUGCAAGCGUUAUCCGGAUUUAUUGGGUUUAAAGGGUGCGUAGGCUGUGUAGCAAGUCAGUGGUGAAAGCCCGGUGCUCAACACCGGAACUGCCAUUGAUACUGUUGCGCUGGAAUACGGAUGCCGUGGGAGGAAUGAGUAGUGUAGCGGUGAAAUGCAUAGAUAUUACUCAGAACACCGAUUGCGAAGGCAUCUCACGAAUCCGUCAUUGACGCUGAGGCACGAAAGCGUGGGGAUCAAACAGGAUUAGAUACCCUGGUAGUCCACGCAGUAAACGAUGAUAACUAACCGUCGGCGAUAGACAGUCGGUGGCCAAGCGAAAGCGAUAAGUUAUCCACCUGGGGAGUACGACCGCAAGGUUGAAACUCAAAGGAAUUGACGGGGGCC